Non-coding RNA from Pelobates cultripes (western spadefoot toad), 213 nucleotides. The record is from the annotation of a GenBank genome assembly. NCBI's taxonomy places the organism in Eukaryota, Metazoa, Chordata, Amphibia, Anura, Pelobatidae.
AUUAAACCUCAUAGGAAAGCAUUACAGCAAUUAGCCCCCUCCCCAAACCCAUUUCAAUACCAGGGAGCUAAGGGAACUAUAGUGUAAGGAAUACAGAUUUGAAUUAGUAAAGUUCUAUAACAUGAAUAUUUGACCUCAUCUUAUUGUGCAAUUUUCCAUAAAAGUCAUCAAUAUAAAAACAGAUUACUAACCUUUGAAGUAGUUGUAUCUGCC